RNAcentral lists this ribosomal RNA (253 nucleotides) under uncultured bacterium. RNAcentral describes it as "partial 16S ribosomal RNA". It matches the Rfam family "Bacterial small subunit ribosomal RNA", at positions 524 to 776 of the family's 1533-position model. The record is from RNAcentral.
UACGUAGGGUGCAAGCGUUAAUCGGAAUUACUGGGCGUAAAGCGUGCGCAGGCGGUUGUGCAAGACAGAUGUGAAAUCCCCGGGCUCAACCUGGGAACUGCAUUUGUGACUGCACAGCUAGAGUACGGCAGAGGGGGAUGGAAUUCCGCGUGUAGCAGUGAAAUGCGUAGAUAUGCGGAGGAACACCGAUGGCGAAGGCAAUCCCCUGGGCCUGUACUGACGCUCAUGCACGAAAGCGUGGGGAGCAAACAGG